GACGAACGCUGGCGGCGUGCUUAACACAUGCAAGUCGAGCGGUAAGGCCCUUUCGGGGGUACACGAGCGGCGAACGGGUGAGUAACACGUGGGUGACCUGCCCUCAGCUCUGGGAUAAGCCUGGGAAACCGGGUCUAUACUGGAUAUGACUCCAUGACGCAUGUUGUGGGGUGGAAAGCCUUGUGCGGCUGAGGAUGGGCCCGCGGCCUAUCAGCUUGUUGGUGGGGUGANGGGCCUACCAAGGCGACGACGGGUAGCCGGCCUGACGAGGCGACCGGCCACACUGGGACUGAGACACGGCCCAGACUCCUACGGGAGGCAGCAGUGGGAAUCUUGCGCAAUGGGCGAAGGCCCUGA
Molecule: ribosomal RNA, 357 nt
Filed under: uncultured bacterium
Lineage: Bacteria
Description: bacterial SSU rRNA
Rfam family: Bacterial small subunit ribosomal RNA
Source: RNAcentral